GCCAACUUAGCUCAGCUGGUAGAGCAGCGCAUUCGUAACGCGCAGGUCAUCGGUUCAAAUCCGAUAGUUGGCU
RNAcentral lists this transfer RNA (73 nucleotides) under Sorangiineae bacterium NIC37A_2. It matches the Rfam family "tRNA". Rfam says of the family: Transfer RNA (tRNA) molecules are approximately 80 nucleotides in length. Their secondary structure includes four short double-helical elements and three loops (D, anti-codon, and T loops). Further hydrogen bonds mediate the characteristic L-shaped molecular structure. tRNAs have two regions of fundamental functional importance: the anti-codon, which is responsible for specific mRNA codon recognition, and the 3' end, to which the tRNAs corresponding amino acid is attached (by aminoacyl-tRNA synthetases). tRNAs cope with the degeneracy of the genetic code in two manners: having more than one tRNA (with a specific anti-codon) for a particular amino acid; and 'wobble' base-pairing, i.e. permitting non-standard base-pairing at the 3rd anti-codon position. The record is from Rfam by way of RNAcentral. Lineage: Bacteria; Pseudomonadati; Myxococcota; Myxococcia; Myxococcales.